GUGGAUUAGAUACCCUGGUAGUCCACGCCGUAAACGGUGGGUACUAGGUGUGGGUUUCCUUCCUUGGGAUCCGUGCCGUAGCUAACGCAUUAAGUACCCCGCCUGGGGAGUACGGCCGCAAGGCUAAAACUCAAAGAAAUUGACGGGGGCCCGCACAAGCGGCGGAGCAUGUGGAUUAAUUCGAUGCAACGCGAAGAACCUUACCUGGGUUUGACAUGCACAGGACGCUGGUAGAGAUAUCAGUUCCCUUGUGGCCUGUGUGCAGGUGGUGCACGGUUGUCGACAACU
Molecule: ribosomal RNA, 288 nt
Filed under: uncultured bacterium
Lineage: Bacteria
Description: partial 16S ribosomal RNA
Rfam family: Bacterial small subunit ribosomal RNA
Source: RNAcentral